Molecule: ribosomal RNA, 497 nt
Filed under: uncultured bacterium
Lineage: Bacteria
Description: partial 16S ribosomal RNA
Rfam family: Bacterial small subunit ribosomal RNA
Source: RNAcentral
GAUGAACGCUGGCGGCGUGCCUAAUACAUGCAAGUCGAGCGAACGGACGAGAGGCUUGCUUCUCUGAUGUUAGCGGCGGACGGGUGAGUAACACGUGGAUAACCUACCUAUAAGACUGGGAUAACUUCGGGAAACCGGAGCUAAUACCGGAUGAUAUUUUGAACCGCAUGGUUCAAAAGUGAAAGACGGUCUUGCUGUCACUUAUAGAUGGAUCCGCGCUGCAUUAGCUAGUUGGUAAGGUAACGGCUUACCAAGGCAACGAUGCAUAGCCGACCUGAGAGGGUGAUCGGCCACACUGGAACUGAGACACGGUCCAGACUCCUACGGGAGGCAGCAGUAGGGAAUCUUCCGCAAUGGGCGAAAGCCCGACGGAGCAACGCCGCGUGAGUGAUGAAGGUCUUCGGAUCGUAAAACUCUGUUAUUAGGGAAGAACAUAUGUGUAAGUAACUGUGCACAUCUUGACGGUACCUAAUCAGAAAGCCACGGCUAACUACGUG